Molecule: ribosomal RNA, 408 nt
Filed under: Triticum aestivum (bread wheat)
Lineage: Eukaryota; Viridiplantae; Streptophyta; Magnoliopsida; Poales; Poaceae
Description: partial small subunit ribosomal RNA
Source: RNAcentral
AUGACGCUCCACAUUCUCUCGGCCAUUGCCCUUAAUGCCACCACCCUUCGUCGGGCCAACCGGGUGAUCCGCGACUUUCUUUGGCAUGGGCGGAAGGACGUGGCUGCUGGCAACUGUCCCGUGGCCUGGCGGAAGGUGUGCAUGCCGACACAGCUUGGCGGCCUCGGUGUGUGCGACCUACAGAGAGUCGACAUCGCCCUUUGAGUCCGGUGGCUCUGGCUUCAAUAUACAGACCCUUCCCGCCCUUGGGGCCAUCUCCAGCUGCAACAUGACGCCGAGGUCCGGGCCAUCUUACGCGCCUCAACUAGCUGGGUGCUCGGCGAUGGGCACUCCUGCCGCUUCUGGACCGACCAUUGGAUCCAGGGCCAAUGCGUCGCUGAGUCCGCGCUUUCUGUCUUCGCCUUGGUC